RNAcentral lists this ribosomal RNA (440 nucleotides) under uncultured archaeon. RNAcentral's name for it is "bacterial SSU rRNA". It matches the Rfam family "Archaeal small subunit ribosomal RNA", at positions 19 to 458 of the family's 1478-position model. The record is from RNAcentral.
GGAGGUUACUGCUAUCGGUGUUCGCCUAACCCAUGCGAGUCAUAUGUUCUUCGUGAACAUGGCGUACUGCUCAGUAACACGUGAAUAACCUGCCCUUGGGACCGGCAUAACCCCGGGAAACUGGGGAUAAUUCCGGAUACCGCAUAUAUGCUGGAAUGCUUUAUGCGUGAAAUGGAUUCGUCUGCCCAAGGAUGGGUCUGCGGCCUAUCAGGUAGUAGUGGGUGUAAUGUACCUACUACCCUACAACGGGUACGGGUUGUGAAAGCAAAAGCCCGGAAAUGGAUUCUGAAACAUGAAUCCAGGCCCUACGGGGCGCACCAGGCGCGAAAACUUUACAAUGCGGGAAACCGUGAUAAGGGGACACCGAGUGCCAGCAACAUUUGUUGGCUGUCCAGGUGUGUAAACUACACCUGUUAGCAAGGGCCGGGCAAAACCGGUGC